This 982-nucleotide long non-coding RNA is filed under the name Marmota monax (woodchuck). Lineage: Eukaryota; Metazoa; Chordata; Mammalia; Rodentia; Sciuridae. The record is from RNAcentral.
CAAAAUUGCUCUUCUUAGUUGAAAAAAAUGGGAUUAAAUCAUAUAUAAAAAUAAUAGAAGUCUAAAGAAUUAAGAGUUAGGAACUUAUUAAACUAGUGAAUUACAAAAUGACAGAAUGUUAUAUCUGGAAGUGGGUUUGCUUGAAGUUUAAAGGUAAGUUUAAAAGGAAUAUUUGGCAAUGGCUUAAUAAAUUUUUUUUUUCCAAGUGGCACUAACAGGCUGAAAAUAUGAAAGAUGCGAAAUAAGUGUAAUCUAAUUAUUCAUUAUAGCUGGACUCUAGAGGAUUGCUACUGAGUGGCGCUUCUCUUACUUCAGUUCCUUUUAAUUUGCAUACAUAAAGGGGUGAAAAUUGCAUUUUUAACACAUACUCUCAAAUCUAGUCUACGGAUUCAAAUUCGCUCAAAGGAAGCUCCUUUUGUAGUUUCUAGGUAAUUUGUUGCUUUCUCAGGUAUGUAGAACAAGUUACCUUUUUAAUUGCUGAAAUGAAUACAUUGACUACUCUCUCCCUGUGUUUAAAAUAGUUUGUUAAAAUUAAUGAAAGAGAUGCAAUAGAAUAUAAAUAUCCUACAACCUCAACUUUAGCAAGAUAAUGAGUAAUACAGGAUUCUUGACACACACGGGUUCUCUGUUUUAAAUUAGAGGUAUUGUCUUUUUGGAAUCCAACAUUUGACAGCCAGAGCAUAACAAGGGACAGGAUUAAAGAUGUACUAUUGGGGAGCCAAUUAUGCAAGUCCAAUAUUCUACUCCUUUUUAUUCUGUAAAAACUGCUUAGGUGAGGAUCAGAUAACAGGCCUAGAAGAAAUGGGAGAAAGCUCUGAGACUAUCCACAACCAUACCAUGGUUGUACCCAGAGAGUAAAGAAUAAAAGAGAUAAUGAAUAAAAUUUAAUAGUUGUCUUCUGGUAGCCAUACUAUACAUGAAAGCAAAUAUUUGAGAACAGAAACACAUAGAAUAUAAGAUUAUAUACAUCAGGAGAUAUGAG